GACGAACGCUGGCGGCGUGCCUAAUACAUGCAAGUAGAACGCUGAAGAGAGGAGCUUGCUCUUCUUGGAUGAGUUGCGAACGGGUGAGUAACGCGUAGGUAACCUGCCUGGUAGCGGGGGAUAACUAUUGGAAACGAUAGCUAAUACCGCAUAAAAUUGAUUAUUGCAUGAUAAUUAAUUGAAAGAUGCAACUGCAUCACUACCAGAUGGACCUGCGUUGUAUUAGCUAGUUGGUGAGGUAACGGCUCACCAAGGCGACGAUACAUAGCCGACCUGAGAGGGUGAUCGGCCACACUGGGACUGAGACACGGCCCAGACUCCUACGGGAGGCAGCAGUAGGGAAUCUUCGGCAAUGGGGGGAACCCUGACCGAGCAACGCCGCGUGAGUGAAGAAGGUUUUCGGAUCGUAAAGCUCUGUUGUAAGAGAGGAACGGGUGUGAGAGUGGAAAGUUCACACUGUGACGGUAUCUUACCAGAAAGGGACGGCUAACUACGUG
This 497-nucleotide ribosomal RNA is filed under the name uncultured bacterium. RNAcentral describes it as "partial 16S ribosomal RNA". It matches the Rfam family "Bacterial small subunit ribosomal RNA", at positions 28 to 507 of the family's 1533-position model. The record is from RNAcentral.